This 424-nucleotide ribosomal RNA is filed under the name uncultured bacterium. RNAcentral describes it as "bacterial SSU rRNA". It matches the Rfam family "Bacterial small subunit ribosomal RNA", at positions 355 to 776 of the family's 1533-position model. RNAcentral also lists the same sequence under 2 other names. The record is from RNAcentral.
UAAGGAAUAUUGGACAAUGGUCGCAAGACUGAUCCAGCCAUGCCGCGUGCAGGAUGAACGAUCUAUGAUCUGUAAACUGCUUUUGUUCGGGAAUAAACCCCUUCACGUGUGGAGGGCUGAAUGUACCGAAAGAAUAAGGGUCGGCUAACUUCGUGCCAGCAGCCGCGGUAAGACGAAGGACCCAAGCGUUAUCCGGAUUUAUUGGGUUUAAAGGGUGCGUAGGCGGGUUGUUAAGUCAGUGGUGAAAGCCUAGAGCUUAACUCUAGAAUUGCCAUUGAUACUGACGAUCUUGAGGAUAGUUGAGGUGGGCGGAAUGUAUCAUGUAGCGGUGAAAUGCUUAGAGAUGAUACAGAACACCGAUUGCGAAGGCAGCUCACUAAGCUAUUUCUGACGCUGAGGCACGAAAGCGUGGGGAUCAAACAGG